GGGGGGACGCAGUAGGAUAGGCGAAGCGUGCGAUUGGAUUGCACGUCUAAGCAGUAAGGCUGAGUAUUAGGCAAAUCCGGUACUCGUUAAGGCUGAGCUGUGAUGGGGAGAAGACAUUGUGUCUUCGAGUCGUUGAUUUCACACUGCCGAGAAAAGCCUCUAGAUAGAAAAUAGGUGCCCGUACCGCAAACCGACACAGGUAGUCAAGAUGAGAAUUCUAAGGUGAGCGAGCGAACUCUCGUUAAGGAACUCGGCAAAAUGACCCCGUAACUUCGGGAGAAGGGGUGCUCUUUAGGGUUAACGCCCAGAAGAGCCGCAGUGAAUAGGCCCAAGCGACUGUUUAUCAAAAACACAGGUCUCUGCUAAACCGUAAGGUGAUGUAUAGGGGCUGACGCCUGCCCGGUGCUGGAAGGUUAAGAGGAGUGGUUAGCUUCUGCGAAGCUACGAAUCGAAGCCCCAGUAAACGGCGGCCGUAACUAUAACGGUCCUAAGGUAGCGAAAUUCCUUGUCGGGUAAGUUCCGACCCGCACGAAAGGCGUAACGAUUUGGGCACUGUCUCAACGAGAGACUCGGUGAAAUCAUAGUACCUGUGAAGAUGCAGGUUACCCGCGACAGGACGGGAAGACCCCGUGGAGCUUUACUGUAGCCUGAUAUUGAAAUUCGGCACAGCUUGUACAGGAUAGGUAGGAGCCUUUGAAACGUGAGCGCUAGCUUACGUGGAGGCGCUGGUGGGAUACUACCCUAGCUGUGUUGGCUUUCUAACCCGCACCACUUAUCGUGGUGGGAGACAGUGUCAGGCGGGCAGUUUGACUGGGGCGGUCGCCUCCUAAAAGGUAACGGAGGCGCUCAAAGGUUCCCUCAGAAUGGUUGGAAAUCAUUCAUAGAGUGUAAAGGCAUAAGGGAGCUUGACUGCGAGACCUACAAGUCGAGCAGGGUCGAAAGACGGACUUAGUGAUCCGGUGGUUCCGCAUGGAAGGGCCAUCGCUCAACGGAUAAAAGCUACCCCGGGGAUAACAGGCUUAUCUCCCCCAAGAGUUCACAUCGACGGGGAGGUUUGGCACCUCGAUGUCGGCUCAUCGCAUCCUGGGGCUGUAGUCGGUCCCAAGGGUUGGGCUGUUCGCCCAUUAAAGCGGUACGCGAGCUGGGUUCAGAACGUCGUGAGACAGUUCGGUCCCUAUCCGUCGUGGGCGUAGGAAAUUUGAGAGGAGCUGUCCUUAGUACGAGAGGACCGGGAUGGACAUACCUCUGGUGUACCAGUUGUCGUGCCAACGGCAUAGCUGGGUAGCUAUGUGUGGACGGGAUAAGUGCUGAAAGCAUCUAAGCAUGAAGCCCCCCUCAAGAUGAGAUUUCCCAACUUCGGUUAUAAGAUCCCUCAAAGAUGAUGAGGUUAAUAGGUUCGAGGUGGAAGCAUGGUGACAUGUGGAGCUGACGAAUACUAAUCGAUCGAAGACUUAAUCAA
This 1459-nucleotide ribosomal RNA is filed under the name Staphylococcus aureus. RNAcentral's name for it is "bacterial LSU rRNA". It matches the Rfam family "Bacterial large subunit ribosomal RNA", at positions 1466 to 2925 of the family's 2925-position model. Lineage: Bacteria; Bacillati; Bacillota; Bacilli; Caryophanales; Staphylococcaceae. The record is from RNAcentral.